GUCGGGUUGGUGUAGUGGCUAUCACGCUCGCUUCACACGCGAGAGGUCGCGAGUUCGAACCUCGCAUCCGAUA
This is a transfer RNA of Blastocystis hominis, 73 nucleotides long. It matches the Rfam family "tRNA". From Rfam's summary of the family: Transfer RNA (tRNA) molecules are approximately 80 nucleotides in length. The record is from Rfam. Lineage: Eukaryota; Bigyra; Opalinata; Blastocystidae.